This 505-nucleotide ribosomal RNA is filed under the name uncultured bacterium. RNAcentral's name for it is "partial 16S ribosomal RNA". It matches the Rfam family "Bacterial small subunit ribosomal RNA", at positions 28 to 507 of the family's 1533-position model. The record is from RNAcentral.
GACGAACGCUGGCGGCGUGCCUAAUACAUGCAAGUAGAACGCACAGUUUAUACCGUAGCUUGCUACACCAUAGACUGUGAGUUGCGAACGGGUGAGUAACGCGUAGGUAACCUGCCUGGUAGCGGGGGAUAACUAUUGGAAACGAUAGCUAAUACCGCAUAAUAUUAAUUAUUGCAUGAUAAUUAAUUGAAAGGUGCAAUUGCACCACUACCAGAUAGACCUGCGUUGUAUUAGCUAGUAGGUGAGGUAACGGCUCACCUAGGCGACGAUACAUAGCCGACCUGAGAGGGUGAUCGGCCACACUGGGACUGAGACACGGCCCAGACUCCUACGGGAGGCAGCAGUAGGGAAUCUUCGGCAAUGGACGAAAGUCUGACCGAGCAACGCCGCGUGAGUGAAGAAGGUUUUCGGAUCGUAAAGCUCUGUUGUAAGAGAAGAACGGGUGUGAGAGUGGAAAGUUCACACUGUGACGGUAGCUUACCAGAAAGGGACGGCUAACUACGUG